CUUGCGGCGUGCCUAAUACAUGCAAGUCGAGCGGACUGAUGGGAGCUUGCUCCCUGAGGUUAGCGGCGGACGGGUGAGUAACACGUGGGCAACCUGCCUGUAAGACUGGGAUAACUCCGGGAAACCGGGGCUAAUACCGGAUAACCCGUUCCACCUCAUGGUGGAGCGGUAAAAGAUGGCCUUUGGCUAUCACUUACAGAUGGGCCCGCGGCGCAUUAGCUAGUUGGUAAGGUAACGGCUUACCAAGGCGACGAUGCGUAGCCGACCUGAGAGGGUGAUCGGCCACACUGGGACUGAGACACGGCCCAGACUCCUACGGGAGGCAGCAGUAGGGAAUCUUCCGCAAUGGACGAAAGUCUGACGGAGCAACGCCGCGUGAGUGAUGAAGGUUUUCGGAUCGUAAAGCUCUGUUGUUAGGGAAGAACAAGUGCCGUUUGAAUAAGGCGGCACCUUGACGGUACCUAACCAGAAAGCCACGGCUAACUACGUGCCACAGCCGCGGUAAUACGUAGGUGGCAAG
This 520-nucleotide ribosomal RNA is filed under the name bacterium RiMSX129. Its description in RNAcentral is "bacterial SSU rRNA". It matches the Rfam family "Bacterial small subunit ribosomal RNA", at positions 36 to 538 of the family's 1533-position model. The record is from RNAcentral.